CCUACGGGUGGCAGCAGUGGGGAAUAUUGGACAAUGGGGGCAACCCUGAUCCAGCCAUGCCGCGUGUGUGAAGAAGGCCCUCGGGUUGUAAAGCACUUUCAGUGAGGAAGAACGCCUGGUGGUUAAUACCCAUCAGGAAAGACAUCACUCACAGAAGAAGCACCGGCUAACUCCGUGCCAGCAGCCGCGGUAAUACGGAGGGUGCGAGCGUUAAUCGGAAUUACUGGGCGUAAAGCGCGCGUAGGUGGCUUGAUAAGCCGGUUGUGAAAGCCCCGGGCUCAACCUGGGAACGGCAUCCGGAACUGUCAAGCUAGAGUGCAAGAGAGGAAGGUAGAAUUCCCGGUGUAGCGGUGAAAUGCGUAGAGAUCGGGAGGAAUACCAGUGGCGAAGGCGGCCUUCUGGACUGACACUGACACUGAGGUGCGAAAGCGUGGGUAGCAAACAGGAUUAGAUACCCCAGUAGUC
This 465-nucleotide ribosomal RNA is filed under the name Vreelandella stevensii. RNAcentral's name for it is "partial 16S ribosomal RNA". It matches the Rfam family "Bacterial small subunit ribosomal RNA", at positions 338 to 795 of the family's 1533-position model. The record is from RNAcentral. Lineage: Bacteria; Pseudomonadati; Pseudomonadota; Gammaproteobacteria; Oceanospirillales; Halomonadaceae.